GAUGAACGCUGGCGGCGUGCCUAAUACAUGCAAGUCGAGCGAACAGACGAGGAGCUUGCUCCUCUGACGUUAGCCGCGGACGGGUGAGUAACACGUGGAUAACCUACCUAUAAGACUGGGAAAACUUCGGGAAACCGGAGCUAAUACCGGAUAAUAUAUUGAACCGCAGGGUUCAAUAGUGAAAGACGGUUUUGCUGUCUCUUAUAGAUGCUUCUGCGCGGCAUUAGCUGGUUGGUAAGUUAACGGCUUACGAAGGCGACGAUGCGUAGCCGACGUGUGAGGGUGAUCGGCCACACUGGAACUGAGACACGGUCCAGGCUCCUACGAGAGGCAGCAGUAGGGAAUGUUCCGCAACAGGCGAAAGCAUGACGGAGCAGCGCCGCGUGUGUGAUGGAGGUCUUCGGAGCGUAAAACUCUGUUAUUAGUGAAGAACAAAUGUGUAAGUAACUGUGCACGUCUUGACGGUACCUAAUCAAAAAGCCACGGCUAACUACGUG
Molecule: ribosomal RNA, 497 nt
Filed under: uncultured bacterium
Lineage: Bacteria
Description: partial 16S ribosomal RNA
Rfam family: Bacterial small subunit ribosomal RNA
Source: RNAcentral